GUUUUCUUGAGCACAGAUGUACCAUAAGAAUCUAUCAUCUUUGUGGAAACUAAGGCAAAAUAGCCGUACGUGCUAAUACGUCCCUGUGCCCACAUGUGCCUUACAGUCUCACGCACCAAGACUCCUGGCCUUGAGGAGACCUGCAGUACCUCAAAGGGAUAUUUCACUGGAGCUCUCACCAAACUCCUAGAGGUCUCCUGAGGUUGAUGCUAGCAUCCAGCAAAGUUCAGCUUUGAAGCAGAACUCUCGUAGGUGUUCUGGUUACAAUAACGCCAGCGGGACCACAAGUUGACAGCGUCAGCUCGCACAGGACUUGUCAGGGCAUAGGAUUUUCUCACUGGGCUAGUGCUGCAAUAGGGAACUUACUCCGCAGUGCCGAAUCCUGUUUCGGAGAAUCUCCUCCACUGUCUUCUACAAAUUCCUACUGCUAUUCAAAUGUUUCGAAUAAAUGGCACUGAAUGGGGGAAAUUAGGAGUGCAUAAUCAUCCAUCACUAUAGUGCUUUCUAUGGUAACAAAAGUGCAACUUGCGACAGUCAU
Long non-coding RNA from Dromaius novaehollandiae (emu), 538 nucleotides. RefSeq lists it as uncharacterized. NCBI's taxonomy places the organism in Eukaryota, Metazoa, Chordata, Aves, Casuariiformes, Dromaiidae. The record is from RefSeq and is a predicted model, not a curated record. The transcript has 3 exons.